RNAcentral lists this transfer RNA (74 nucleotides) under Candidatus Omnitrophota bacterium. RNAcentral's name for it is "tRNA-Ser". It matches the Rfam family "tRNA". From Rfam's summary of the family: Transfer RNA (tRNA) molecules are approximately 80 nucleotides in length. The record is from RNAcentral. Lineage: Bacteria; Pseudomonadati; Candidatus Omnitrophota.
GCCCCCUUAGCUCAAUUGGAUAGAGCGCGCGUCCGCUAAACGUGAGGUUCCGGGCUCGAAUCCCGGAGGGGGCG